RNAcentral lists this long non-coding RNA (753 nucleotides) under Numida meleagris (helmeted guineafowl). RNAcentral's name for it is "lncRNA (ENSNMEG00000013702.1)". The record is from RNAcentral. Lineage: Eukaryota; Metazoa; Chordata; Aves; Galliformes; Numididae.
GGUGAUGAAGUGAGCUGCCGCCUUUGGGCGAUUUGUGCGGAGCGCUCCUCCAGCUCAGUGAGCGCGGAUCAAAGAACGCCAGCGUCGAGGUGCUUCCGAGCCCAACUCACCGCUCCCCGAGCAGCAAGGCCCCACAUCGCUUCCCCGAAAGCUCCCGGCGCUUCCCGACCCCCCCGUGGCCCCGAGCCCCCGGCAUCCGAAAGGUGCCCGGUUCCCCUGCACCAUCGCACACCGCAAGCCGAACUCCGCCGAGCUGCCCCGAGCCCUCCGCCCCCGCCGCACGCAGCGCGGAGCCUCCCCGGGCUCACAGAGGAGCCGGGAGGACACCGCGGAGCUCCCGACCCCGCGGCUGCUGAGGGAGCAGAGCGGCGUGCGGGAUCCCGGGCGCAGGAACAACGUAAUCGAGAUCGGAGCCGCUCAUUGUACAUGAAGAUUAAUUCAGCAUUACAAAGAUCUCACAGAUCACUGAGAUCGCUAAGAUCACAAAGCGGUUGUGUUUUUCUCAGUGAAAUUAAAAUACGUUUGGACUGCACCAGGAGCUGUCAUUACGGCUUUCCUGCCCUUCCGUUCAAGGCUGAGCUGCACAGGACCAAGCACAGAGCGGUGCCUGGGGCCGGGCAGAGCUCCCCAAGCCUGCAUUUCCAAGAACACAAAUCCUGUCCGUUUUUAUACUUAAAUGUGAAAGUUGCUGUGGCUGAAGCUGGGAAGCCAGUGUCCCCUCACACCGACUACUUCUCAUCACAGAAGGGAUGA